GAGGGUAUAGCUCAAGUGGCAGAGUGCAUGCUUAGCAUGCAUCAGGUCCUGGGUUCAAUCCCCAGUACCUCCU
This 73-nucleotide transfer RNA is filed under the name Camelus bactrianus (Bactrian camel). It matches the Rfam family "tRNA". Rfam says of the family: Transfer RNA (tRNA) molecules are approximately 80 nucleotides in length. Their secondary structure includes four short double-helical elements and three loops (D, anti-codon, and T loops). Further hydrogen bonds mediate the characteristic L-shaped molecular structure. tRNAs have two regions of fundamental functional importance: the anti-codon, which is responsible for specific mRNA codon recognition, and the 3' end, to which the tRNAs corresponding amino acid is attached (by aminoacyl-tRNA synthetases). tRNAs cope with the degeneracy of the genetic code in two manners: having more than one tRNA (with a specific anti-codon) for a particular amino acid; and 'wobble' base-pairing, i.e. permitting non-standard base-pairing at the 3rd anti-codon position. RNAcentral also lists the same sequence under 2 other names. The record is from Rfam by way of RNAcentral. Lineage: Eukaryota; Metazoa; Chordata; Mammalia; Artiodactyla; Camelidae.